RNAcentral lists this ribosomal RNA (253 nucleotides) under uncultured bacterium. RNAcentral describes it as "partial 16S ribosomal RNA". It matches the Rfam family "Bacterial small subunit ribosomal RNA", at positions 524 to 776 of the family's 1533-position model. The record is from RNAcentral.
UACGUAGGGUGCGAGCGUUAAUCGGAAUUACUGGGCGUAAAGCGUGCGCAGGCGGUUCGCCAAGUCAGGUGUGAAAUCCCCGGGCUUAACCUGGGAAUUGCGCUUGAAACUAGCGGGCUUGAGUGCGGCAGAGGGGGGUGGAAUUCCACGUGUAGCAGUGAAAUGCGUAGAGAUGUGGAGGAACACCGAUGGCGAAGGCAGCCCCCUGGGUCGACACUGACGCUCAUGCACGAAAGCGUGGGGAGCAAACCGG